Long non-coding RNA from Ailuropoda melanoleuca (giant panda), 1783 nucleotides. RefSeq lists it as uncharacterized. The transcript is spliced from 3 exons. The record is from RefSeq and is a predicted model, not a curated record. Lineage: Eukaryota; Metazoa; Chordata; Mammalia; Carnivora; Ursidae.
GGAAAAAAAAUGGAAAUUUGAUCUUCUGUGGGGUGAUAAAUUAGAUACUACCUGGAACCCUCAGGGCCAUAGGAUGUGAGAUNCCCCCUUUCCCCCAGGGCAAGCCAGAGGGGGGGCCGUUACUGAGUCUGACUGCCAGAAAGGGAGAGAGCCUUAAGCCCUGUGGGACAUUGUAAAGGAGAUGAAAAUGCUUUCAGUCUAGACCGUCUGCUGCUUUAACCACAGUGCCUUCCUCACCCACCACUUUUUUAUUAUUAUUUUUAGUUUACAGUGGAAGAGCACUUACAUUUACUCAUAAUUGUCUCAGUUGGGCCAUAUUUGUCAGAAUGGUAAAUGUUAGUUAUAAGGAGGAAAAACACUUUUUCAUUUUGGAUGUUUUACUUUUCAUUGCUUGUUGAAACUGUUUUGCAACGUGUGACUUAUAGAAAAACUAAUUUAAUUGAAUACAUCUGUGAAUACCCUGGUCUUCUCAUAAGAAAGACCAGCAGGAAGGAUAGCAACCCUCACGUUCUCCUUCAGGACACCCUCCAGACCUCCCCGCCUGGCUGCCUGACAUCACUCCAGAUGUUUAAUCAGACCUACAAGCUCUAUUCUUACAGCUACCUGGGGCUCGGUUUGAUGUCGGCGCGGCUGGCGAUUCUGGGUGGCAUGGAGGGGAAACCUGACGUGGCGUUGAAGUGGAGAUGGAACCUAUGUCAGGGCAAGAUGUUCCUCCCAGGCCUUCUCUGAUCUUUCCUGACUGGCCUGGCUGAGGAGAAGCCUAGAGCUGGCCACCAGGCUACAUGAAAUCUUAGGAGGUCUUAGGGGAUCACUGUCCCAAUUUGGGAGUAGGGGAACACUGCUCUGAGGCUGGCAUUGGCCUGUCUUUCCUGAUGACAUCGAUCAUGGCCCAAAGGCCUUGACCCUUGACCCAUGCCUCUGGUGCAGAUGUGUGCAUGUGAGCCCACACAUAUGCUCCAGCCACAGGCCCUUCCCUCAACCCUGCCUUUCCUUGCCCCAUACCUGCUCCCCUCCACAGGCCUAGCACUUCUCUGCACUUCUUCCAAGGGCCUGGUCGUUCUGACUGGAAUUUUUGUUUUUCACGUACAUCUUAUUUCAAAUCCUGGUGUUUAACCUCAUUGCGGUAUUCCUCUGUUGCAAGCCAAAAACAUUUCCAUGUCUCAGAAACACUUGCAGCUUUCACUCUAUGGCUAGAAAACACCUAUUUAGCCAGCAGGAAGAAGGCAGGUACCCAAGUGUCCAGGGCUAGCCUUAAACCCAUCAGCUGCAUGAAGUGCCUCCUUGGGGCACAUGGGGCUGUAACAACUGCCAAGAAGGGUGUGGACAGCUCUUUGCCCCAGAGGAAACAUCUCCCUAUUGUGUUAUCUGUUGUUGCACAAGUACACAGUAAAGACACUAACUGUUGAAACAAGCAAGUAGCCAUCAUUUUAUUACAGUAUCUCGUGAUUGCACAGGCUUGAGCUGGGCAGUGGCUCUCCUGGGGUCCCUGGGGUGGCUGGGUGAGUGUCUUACACCUCGGUGCUCUCCCACGUAGCCUCCCCCCACACUUCUCCCUGGCAGCUCAGGAAGGAAGACUACCCUGAAGUCAUAUCCCGUCAUAUCCUGCACAUUCUGCUGGUAAAAGUAGGCCCAGGCGAGAAUCACGGGCAGGCAUAGGGACUCACUUCUCUGCAUGCACAUCUUUGAGGGUGGCAUUGUGGGGCCAGCCUUGGAGGCCAACCACCACACUUCCUUUGUUAUUUGUGGGGCCCCAGAUUUUGUGUUGUGGGGCAGCACAGAUACA